RNAcentral lists this transfer RNA (63 nucleotides) under Meteorus pulchricornis. RNAcentral describes it as "tRNA-Ile". Lineage: Eukaryota; Metazoa; Arthropoda; Insecta; Hymenoptera; Braconidae. The record is from RNAcentral.
AAUAAAGUGCCUGAAAAAAAGGAUUAUUUUGAUAGAAUAAAUCAUGUUUUAAAACCUUUAUUU